GAAACACGCGACGUCACUCAACGUGACUAAGUUGGCAGCGAAGACGCACAAUAAUAAUCCGAUACUCAACCGAGUCUGUUAAAAUCGCUGAAAGCUUUAAAUGAUGAAUAUUGCGUGAGCUCGAGUUUACGGAAGCGGUUUACGUGUGCACGUCGUUGGGGCUAUCGCUGUUACGAAUCUAGAUUUCCAUUGGCUUGGCGCCGAUUACCGGGUCUGACUACUGCUAGAUCUGUGCAAUAUAAUCGCGGCUUUCACUUUCAAUUUCCGUGAACGUCGGAACGUUCGCGACUCCAAAACGACGGAAACAAUCUUGCGCGCGAGAGGUUUCUAGAUCGCCGAGAUGAUCUCGAAAUCUAGUUGGAUUGGUGCUGUUUUAUUGCGAAGGCGGAGCGAUUACGCGAAUGAAAAUGCAAUAAGAAAGCGCCCGAAUGCAUCGACGGGAAAAUCGACGAGAUCAGAUACCUGUAACUACACGCCGUAACGUUUCGUAAUCAACUUGAUAGCGCCCCUAUCCUUUGCGUUGGUUAUUCUGGUCACCAUUCCUGAUGACCGUAUUAGGAAAAUUCUUUUAGACCCGUUAAUAGGCCGUUGCACACGUAACGCGUAUCGUUGGACCGUAAAAAAAAAAGUAGUUGCGAUUGCAUAAAAUCCGCGCGAACGACUAAACAUGAGAUAUUGCACGAGAUUCGUAAUUAACCGAUAAUCGAUCGUAUUCAUUACGCGAGUUUGCGUAUCUGAAGUCGACAUUCGCAAUUCAAAUUAGGGAAUUUAAUUUUUCAUAAUUAAGAGAAAUCUGUGGUUUAAUUUAAUUGGAUCUCAGUUCUUAGAAUUCGAAUUUUCAGAGAUUAAAAAGACAAAUCUCAACAAGUUACGUCACGUGGCGUUCAAAGUCGUAACGCUUGCGGCUCGUAAUACGGGAAGCGGCGUUUAGAAAGGAAGUGUUUCGCGCGAUCGUAGAACCGUCGAGCAAUCGGCUGAUUAGAUAUAUUGGUGUAUACGUAACUGAUAUUUCGCGAUCGCGUGCGAGCGGUAUUAGACGGCGCGUGUGUCACGCCCGGUUUGAGACUGUUGCAAACUUAAAUGGCAUCGCGGCCUGGAAUUAUGCAUAUCUAACGACUACGCGAAACUUUCACAUCCCGUUUACGCGGAACGAACGACUAUCCCGCGGCCGCGCUCGUGUGACGUGGUCGACCGAGCGUUCCCGCGACCUCGCGAUCGGAAAAGGAUCGAACAUGCCGAUUUCAAAAUUGCCUUGCGCGAUUGAGCGCCGAGUAUAUUUCCAUCGGCCCUGAGAAAUUGCAAAGGCAUUCCGAAGUCUGGCGCAACGAUUAAGAUAUCGUUAUCGACGAUAUUAUUGAUAAUAUAGGACGGUACGAGGCAGAACAUAAUUCCGGUGUUAUCCUGAUUCAAUGGAUAUUUUGUACGUGAAAUGACGGAGAAAGUCAAAAGAAAUGCAACUGCAGAGGAUGCAAGAGUGACGGCAAGGUAUGUACAAUCCCGAGAACGUGAGAUUCGUGAAUGAAGAUGCGUCUACGAGAAAUAGAACCGGUCGCGUGUUAAUCCGUUCACUCAAUGACGAUGAUGAUACUACCUACAACCGGUUUUCGCCGAGAGUCGGCGCGCGAUGCGGUAAGAUUUCUUUGCUUUAUGAAUGAAAGUCGUCGGUUCGUCUGUUUGUGCGUCUGUCUGCCUGUGGAGAAAAACAGCGAGAGUAUCCCAACCAUGACAUUGAAUCAUCGUCGGUUUUAUCGCGAACUCAAUAAGAAGCGGAGAAACGAAAAAGUAUAAUGGAGACAUUAAUAGAUGUAUUAUCGACGUAUGUAUUUAUAAAAGAAAGCUCUUGAGCUUGCAAAACGAUCGUAUUUACUUUCCGUUUGCAGAUAUGUCACCGUGUUCAAAUGCAAUCUUGCAUUAACCUAGUUUCUUGUUUGGUUUCAAUUAAGAAGCGCCAGAACGAAACAUUACGGAAAUAAGCGCUUACAGAGAUAAACUUUCGCAGUGAUUACGGCAGAAUAAGAAAGGGCAGAAUUUUAUGAGUAAUUUCAUUAAGGACUCGAUGUUAUUCAAGAAUCGUUCAAAGAGCUUUCAGAUCAACACUGUUUAUUCACGGCGAAGAAGAUAAGUAUCCAAUCAAGAAACUAUGAUAAUUUCGAAA
Molecule: long non-coding RNA, 2155 nt
Organism: Mycetomoellerius zeteki
Lineage: Eukaryota; Metazoa; Arthropoda; Insecta; Hymenoptera; Formicidae
Exons: 2
Source: RefSeq, a predicted model, not a curated record